This 501-nucleotide ribosomal RNA is filed under the name uncultured bacterium. Its description in RNAcentral is "partial 16S ribosomal RNA". It matches the Rfam family "Bacterial small subunit ribosomal RNA", at positions 30 to 523 of the family's 1533-position model. The record is from RNAcentral.
AUUGAACGCUGGCGGCAUGCCUUACACGUGCAAGUCGAACGGCAGCACGGGUGCUUGCACCUGGUGGCGAGUGGCGAACGGGUGAGUAAUACAUCGGAACGUACCUUAUCGUGGGGGAUAACGCAGCGAAAGUUGCGCUAAUACCGCAUACGCCCUGAGGGGGAAAGCGGGGGACCGUAAGGCCUCGCGCGAUUAGAGCGGCCGAGGUCUGAUUAGCUUGUUGGUGAGGUAAAAGCUCACCAAGGCGAUGAUCAGUAGCUGGUCUGAGAGGACGAUCAGCCACACUGGGACUGAGACACGGCCCAGACUCCUACGGGAGGCAGCAGUGGGGAAUUUUGGACAAUGGGGGCAACCCUGAUCCAGCAAUGCCGCGUGAGUGAAGAAGGCCUUCGGGUUGUAAAGCUCUUUUGUCAGGGAAGAAACAGCAGCUCUAACACAGUCUGCGAAUGACGGUACCUGAAGAAUAAGCACCGGCUAACUACGUGCCAGCAGCCGCCGCAG